Molecule: long non-coding RNA, 582 nt
Organism: Manduca sexta (tobacco hornworm)
Lineage: Eukaryota; Metazoa; Arthropoda; Insecta; Lepidoptera; Sphingidae
Exons: 3
Source: RefSeq, a predicted model, not a curated record
UUUGUGCCCCCACAAUGCUGUGAAAACGUACACAGCCUUCUGCGAAAUGUAGGCGAAGUGUGGGUGGGACUUGUUUCAAUAGUUGUAACAAUAUAAAAGUACUCUCGGGAUACAACAUGGUCAGAUGGAACAAGAACUAUGAUGAUAAUUCUUCUGUGCUUCGCACUACCCAGAGAUCAAAACGUAAUGUAGCAGCUGACUGCUGCGAUUCGUAUGCUUGUGAUAAUGAUCACCCUGUAUAACUAUCUGGUCGCCGUGAUGUAUGGAGCCCGCUCCCUAAAGGCGUCCAGUGAAGAAUGCCGCCGAGCUUCUUAGAAGAAUCUUAGGAAUAUGCCGUCUUAAUGGUGUAUUUAAAGUCUUGCCACAGAGGUGAUUUUAUUUGGAAAAACAAGUUCACGUAUGACAUAGAAAGUGAUCGUUUGUUGUAACUCCACCUGAGGUGUAAAUAAAUUAAACAAGUUCUUAAUUUGAAAUACGAUUUUUGAAUUAAGAAUCUGACCGAAUUUAUUAAGUACAUCAUUACUUAUGUUUCUUUUACAUGGGCCGUUAGGAAUAGUUUGUUUAAGAAAAAAAAACAUUUUU